CCCUAUUACCCUCCCUAAUCCUCCCCCAUUACCCUCCCUCAUCCUCCCCCGUUAACCUCCCUCGUUACCCUCCCUAAUCCUCCCCCGUAACCCCUCUAACUCCCAGGUCUUUGUGCUGUGCUGAUAUAUAUAUAUAUAGACUAAAGCUUUUCAGGGUCAUCAUCAAUGUAAAUGACAAUGAGACACGUGAUUCCUCCCAGUUCAUCAGUCAAGUCUACUAAAAAGCCAUAGAGCCUCAUUGUAAACCAGCGGCAGAAAGGAAACCUGUUAACACGCAGCGUCGUCGUGUCUCUUCAAUAGAAGACUAAUGGAUCACAGGAUAAUAUCGUCUGAAACACGAGAGAAGCUAGGAGCCCGGGGCUCCGUGGCGACUAGGCAGCUAUAGGGGGAUUGUACAUUGCUCAUAGUUUAAACUUUCUUUCUAUAAAAAUUCCUCAACUUCCUUUUGUUGAUUUCAAGCAUAAACGUUGUCCAGCUUUUCCACGGACAACAUCGUCCCUUUCCUUCCUCUCUUCUUCCUCGGUUUGGCAUGACGGUCGUAGUAAUGACUAGGAACAUUACAUACUACUACACUGGGUUGAGUUAGAGAGAGAGAGAGAAACAGAGAGAGAGACAGAGAGACGAAGAGAGCGCGAGAGAUGAAGAGAGAGAGAGAGAGAGACGAAGAGAGAGAGAGAGACGAAGAGAGAGAGAGAGACGAAGAGAGAGAGAGACGAAGAGAGAGAGAGACGAAGAGAGCGAGAGAGAGAGAGAGACAAAGAGAGCGAGAGAGAGAGAGAGAGAGAGAGGAAAAGAGAGAGGAAAAGAGAGAGAGAGAGAGAGAGACGAAGAGAGAGAGAGACAAAGAGAGAGAGAGGAAAAGAGAGAGAGAGGAAAAGAGAGAGAGAGGAAAAGAGAGAGAGAGAGACAAAGAGAGAGAGAGAGAGAGGAAAGAGAGAGAGGAAAAGAGAGAGAGAGAGAGAGACGAAGAGAGAGAGAGACAAAGAGAGAGAGAGAGAGACAAAGAGAGAGAGAGAGAGAGAGGAAAAGAGAGAGAGAAAGAGAGAGAGAGAGAGAGAGAGAGAGAGAGAGAGAGAGAGAGAGAGAGACGAAGAGAGAGACAGAGAGACGAAGAGAGAGAGAGAGAGAGAGAGAGAGAGACGAAGAGAGAGACAGAGAGAGACUUGGGUGCAGCGUCACGUCUCAACAGACAGAAGUCUUGUCCCUCGUCUAACCGUCAUCUCCACAGACACACAAUAACACCCAGUGAUAACGGAUCAGAGGGCUUUAGUGACCUGGUCCCUUCUCCCUGAUGGUUUAAGGUUAGGAUGUAAGGAGGAGAGAUGAUCCUACAUCUGUGUUAAAGGGGAGGACUUGUGCCCAAAAGCAUGGUAUUCCCUGAACAGCCUUGAAGAACCAAAAUCAGAUUUAGAACCCCUUUCCUGAGUCAGGCUAAGAGCCAAUCAGAACCCCUUUCCUGAGUCAGGCUAAGAGCCAAUCAGAACCCCUUUCCUGAGUCAGGCUAAGAGCCAAUCAGAACCCCUUUCCUGAGUCAGGCUAAGAGCCAAUCAGAACCCCUUUCCUGAGUCAGGCUAAGAGCCAAUCAGAACCCCUUUUCCUGAGUCAGGCUAAGAGCCAAUCAGAACCCCUUUUCCUGAGUCAGGCUAAGAGCCAAUCAGAACCCCUUUUCCUGAGUCAGGCUAAGAGCCAAUCAGAACCCCUUUUCCUGAGUCAGGCUAAGAGCCAAAUCAGAACCCCUUUUCCUGAGUCAGGCUAAGUGGCGGUCCUCUGAAACAAUAGCAACUAGCACCAUGCUAACAGCGCCAUGCUAGCAGCACCAUGCUAGCAGCACCAUGCUACCCUGAAAUGUAGUUAACUCAUCCCACGUGACAGUACCCUCUGCUGGGUUAGAUCAGCACAGAGACACCCCUCAUACCACCACACUACCAGCCUGUCUACCCUGUCAGAGCACAACAACACACACUAACAUACACACACCAUCCAGGCCUCCUAGUCUGCAGAGAGAGAGACAGACAGGCCUCCUAGUCUGCAGAGAGAGACAGACAGGCCUCCUAGUCUGCAGAGAGAGAGACAGACAGGCCUCCUAGUCUGCAGAGAGAGAGACAGACAGGCCUCCUAGUCUGCAGAGAGAGACAGACAGGCCUCCUAGUCUGCAGAGAGAGACAGACAAGCCUCCUAGUCUGCAGAGAGACAGACAGGCCUCCUAGUCUGCAGAGAGAGAGACAGGACGCAGACUAGGAGGCUGUCUUCUCUCCUCUCCUUCCAUCUUUAAAUAAUCCAAGUGCAAAUCCAAAAAGCUCCUCAGUUCAGCGUCUCAAUAAAGUUAUUAUUAACACCUCAGUUCAGCGUCUCAAUAAAGUUAUUAUUAACACCACAGUUCAGUGUCUCAAUAAAGUUAUUAUUCACACACACAAAAAUAAACCUGGUUUCCAAUGUUUCAUGCAACAGUUUGUUAAAACAAAAAAGUGAGAUAAGCCAAAAAAAUAUAUAUAUAUCUGGAAUUAAGUAAACAAAUAUUAUUAUUGUUGUUGUUGAUUGAAUGAUAUUUGGUAGAGCGGUUGUUUAACACGGUUGAAUACUGGCACAGCACUGGCAGAAUAAUACUCAAGGGGGUUUGUAUUGUACGCUAAUGCUUUUAAGUUAUUCAGUACAGUCAAGGAACGCGACGUCAAAACAACACAACUAGCAACUUCUACCAGUCAAAUAAAACUACUGGGAGAGAAACAACAGUUUUUAUUAUUAUUUUGUUCGUUUUUUUUUUUUAAAGACACUAAAUAAAAAUCGAAGUAAAUAAAUGAAGGUCCAUGGCUUUGCCUAAUGCUGUUUUGAAGCUUUCACACAUUGUGCAUCAUCAUAACUCAACAAUCAACAUUGUAAAUAGUGGCUAAAUCUAUGUUUAUUAUUUAAAGGCAUUGUGUUUACGACCAACGAUAGGUUACAUUCACCCCCCCAGCGAUGACAGACAGAGAGCCAUCUAGGGAGGUAUGAAGAAGCCAAAACACCCCCUUCCCGAUUCAACAGGACCGAUUCUAAAAUGGCUGCCUGCUCCCCACACCAGCAGUAGUGCACUAAAGGGAAUAACAACGGGAGUCUUUAGAGCCACACAGAUGAGACUACCAGUCUUACCUGUCAAGACUACCAGUCUUACCUGUCAAGACUACCAGUCUUACCUGUCAAGACUACCAGUCUUACCUGUCAAGACUACCAGUCUUACCUGUCAAGACUACCAGUCUUACCUGUCAAGACU
RNAcentral lists this long non-coding RNA (3247 nucleotides) under Salmo salar (Atlantic salmon). RNAcentral describes it as "lncRNA (ENSSSAG00000110874.1)". The record is from RNAcentral. Lineage: Eukaryota; Metazoa; Chordata; Actinopteri; Salmoniformes; Salmonidae.